GAGGUGGCGACCGGCGCACGGGUGAGUAACACGUAUGCAACCUGCCUGUAAGCGGGGAAUAACCCGUUGAAAGACGGACUAAUACCGCAUAAUACUAAAUUACUGCAUGGUAAUUUAUUUAAACAUUUAUGGCUUACAGAUGGGCAUGCGCAUGAUUAGCUAGUUGGAGAGGUAACGGCUCCCCAAGGCAACGAUCAUUAGGGGUUCUGAGAGGAAGGUCCCCCCACACUGGUACUGAGACACGGACCAGACUCCUACGGGAGGCAGCAGUGAGGAAUAUUGGUCAAUGGACGAGAGUCUGAACCAGCCAAGUCGCGUGCAGGAAGAAUUGUCCUAUGGAUUGUAAACUGCUUUUGCAGGGGAAUAAAGUGCAUCACGUGUGAUGUUUUGUAUGUACUCUGCGAAUAAGGAUCGGCUAACUCCGUGCCAGCCGCCGC
This 437-nucleotide ribosomal RNA is filed under the name uncultured bacterium. RNAcentral describes it as "bacterial SSU rRNA". It matches the Rfam family "Bacterial small subunit ribosomal RNA", at positions 85 to 518 of the family's 1533-position model. The record is from RNAcentral.